AAGUCGUAACAAGGUCUCCGUAGGUGAACCUGCGGAGGGAUCAUUAAUGAGCAAGGGCCGAAAGGCCCGACCUCCAACCCUUCUGUGAACGAAACCUCGUUGCCUCGGGGGCGACCCUGGCCGCCCGCGGCCGUGGGGCCCCCGACGGUCCACUCAACUCUGCAUCAAUGCGUCUGAGCGAAUUUUAAUCAAAAUUAAAACUUUCAACAACGGAUCUCUUGGUUCUG
Molecule: unclassified non-coding RNA, 227 nt
Filed under: air metagenome
Description: partial contains small subunit ribosomal RNA, internal transcribed spacer 1, and 5.8S ribosomal RNA
Rfam family: Eukaryotic small subunit ribosomal RNA (bases 1-46)
Source: RNAcentral